CCUACGGGUGGCAGCAGUGGGGAAUAUUGCACAAUGGGGGAAACCCUGAUGCAGCGACGCCGCGUGAGUGAAGAAGUAUUUCGGUACGUAAAGCUCUAUCAGCAGGGAAGAAAAUGACGGUACCUGACUAAGAAGCCCCGGCUAACUACGUGCCAGCAGCCGCGGUAAUACGUAGGGGGCAAGCGUUAUCCGGAUUUACUGGGUGUAAAGGGAGCGUAGACGGCAGCGCAAGUCUGGAGUGAAAUCCCAUGGCUUAACCAUGGAACUGCUUUGGAAACUGUGCAGCUAGAGUGCAGGAGAGGUAAGCGGAAUUCCUAGUGUAGCAGUGAAAUGCGUAGAUAUUAGGAGGAACACCAGUGGCUAAGGCGGCUUACUGGACUGUAACUGACGUUGAGGCUCGAAAGCGUGGGGAGCAAACAGGAUUAGAUACCCCUGUAGUC
RNAcentral lists this ribosomal RNA (440 nucleotides) under uncultured bacterium. RNAcentral describes it as "partial 16S ribosomal RNA". It matches the Rfam family "Bacterial small subunit ribosomal RNA", at positions 338 to 795 of the family's 1533-position model. The record is from RNAcentral.